AGAGUUUGAUCCUGGCUCAGAACGAACGCUGGCGGCGUGCCUAACACAUGCAAGUCGAGCGCGAAUGGAGCAAUCCUAGUAGAGCGGCGCACGGGUGCGUAACACGUGGGUAAUCUGCCCAGAAGAUCGGAAUAACUAUCCGAAAGGAUAGCUAAUGCCGGAUAAGCCUACGGGAUCUUCGGAUCUUGGAGGAAAAGGUGGCCUCUGUAUACAAGCUAUCACUUCUGGAUGAGCCCGCGGCCCAUCAGCUAGUUGGCGGGGUAAUGGCCCACCAAGGCUACGACGGGUAGCUGGUCUGAGAGGACGAUCAGCCACACUGGAACUGAGACACGGUCCAGACUCCUACGGGAGGCAGCAGUGGGGAAUUUUGCGCAAUGGGCGAAAGCCUGACGCAGCAACGCCGCGUGUGUGAUGAAGGUCUUCGGAUUGUAAAGCACUUUCGACCGGGACGAACACCCUUUGGCUAACACCCAGGGGCCUGACGGUACCGGGAGAAGAAGCACCGGCUAACUCUGUGCCAGCAGCCGCGGUAAUACAGAGGGUGCAAGCGUUGUUCGGAAUUAUUGGGCGUAAAGCGCGUGUAGGCGGCCUUGCAAGUCGGGUGUGAAAGCCCUCAGCUUAACUGAGGAAGUGCGCCCGAAACUGCAGAGCUUGAGUACCGGAGAGGAUGGUGGAAUUCCCCAAGUAGAGGUGAAAUUCGUAGAUAUGGGGAGGAACACCGGUGGCGAAGGCGACCAUCUGGACGGAUACUGACGCUGAGACGCGAAAGCGUGGGUAGCAAACAGGAUUAGAUACCCUGGUAGUCC
RNAcentral lists this ribosomal RNA (806 nucleotides) under uncultured bacterium. Its description in RNAcentral is "bacterial SSU rRNA". It matches the Rfam family "Bacterial small subunit ribosomal RNA", at positions 8 to 796 of the family's 1533-position model. The record is from RNAcentral.